This 21-nucleotide non-coding RNA is filed under the name Caenorhabditis elegans. Lineage: Eukaryota; Metazoa; Nematoda; Chromadorea; Rhabditida; Rhabditidae. The record is from RNAcentral.
UGCUGUUAGCAUAGAUUAAUG